CAGUCGCCACGGUAAUACGGAGGGGGCUAGCGUUGUUCGGAAUUGCUGGGCGUAAAGCGCACGUAGGCGGCUUGGUAAGUUAGAGGUGAAAGCCUGGAGCUCAACUCCAGAAUUGCCUUUAAGACUGCCGAGCUAGCAGGUGAGAGAGGUAAGUGGAAUUCCGAGUGUAGAAGUGAAAUUCGUAGAUAUUCGGAAGAACACCAGUGGCGAAGGCGACUACCUGGUCUGGCAUUGACGCUCAUGUGCGAAAGCGUGGGGAGCAAACAGGAUUAGAUACCCCGGUAGUCCCUGUCUCUUAUAA
RNAcentral lists this ribosomal RNA (301 nucleotides) under uncultured bacterium. RNAcentral describes it as "partial 16S ribosomal RNA". It matches the Rfam family "Bacterial small subunit ribosomal RNA", at positions 509 to 809 of the family's 1533-position model. The record is from RNAcentral.